UCUCCUGAGGUGAUUUUCCUUUUUCCUGAUUAUCGGCCAACGCGGGUCUUAACAUUGCAUUAUGGAUUAAUCUGCAGCAAGAAAGCACACUGGAUACACGAACGAACUUUUACCUCUGAAAAUCGCUGAUUCAAGCUUAAUCAAUGCGAUUGCAGAGAAACGGGAAGAGUUUCGCCUCUUGAGAUGGGGAAGAUGGAUUUCAUCCUCAAAUUGCACGAUAUUUAAGACCUCCAGGUGACUCACCUCAACACGGGCAUCCAAAAAUACUCUUUCUUCGUGGAAAAUCACUUCUCAACUUGUAUUCGGGGUCAUUCCACUUUUAGUUAUCUCUGUAUGUCCACAAAAGUAUGAAAUAAGGAUACUUCAGUUAUCAACAUUGAUGUGUCAGUAAGGAGCAAAAAUCUUUGGUUCAAUACAAAUACGUCACCGACAUACCCGAUGGCAAUUUCUGCAAGCCUACUUGAAUACUAUUCCUGAAAUUUUACAGAGAGGAAUACUAGAAAGGAUAUUGAUUGCAAUUUCUUACUUCGGUCCAUCUGUAGAAAGAAUCCAAUUUGCUGGAUCAUAUUCUAUUUCCAUGAGAAAAAGAAGCUGAGAAAUAUAAUUUCAAAACAUGAGUUCUCUGGUUUGACCAAAGAAUCAGCAUGAAUCAACAUAAUCGAAUCAGCAAUUCUCAUCCUGCCUCAGCAUAUGGGUAAACAGAACGACCAUCAAUCACAUGCAGGCAUGAAUUAAGUUUGAGUUUUAAUGCUCAUCAUAUCCCGUUGUGGAAGCAAAGGUAACUGAACCCGUAUAACUUAAAUGUAUUCACCUUGGAAACAAGAACCAAUCUGCAUAUUCAAAGUCUUUCCUCCCCCACAAUAAGAGUAUAAUAUAAAAAAAAAAUACUUUCAAUAAUUUCUUCAUUAUUAAAUUUGUACAUAUAAUAGACUAGCCAAACUGACUGUAAUGAUUCAUGAUCUCAUUUUAA
Molecule: long non-coding RNA, 970 nt
Organism: Argiope bruennichi
Lineage: Eukaryota; Metazoa; Arthropoda; Arachnida; Araneae; Araneidae
Exons: 4
Source: RefSeq, a predicted model, not a curated record